UGAUGAUCUACUGGGGCAUAAACACUCCAAACUAAGGAGUAUGAGCAAUUAUGACUGUUAAUGAUUAUACUGUCUCUCAGUUCUAUGGGUUGGCAGGGCUCCACUGGGAGGUUUUCACUUGGGUCUCUCAUAUGAAUGCAGACAAUAGCUGGGGUUGCAGUCAUCUGAAGGCAUCCUCACUCACAUGCAUAGUGGCAGCUGACGCUGGCUGUGGCUAGAACCUCAGCUGGGGCUGUGGGCCAGAACACUAUAUACAGCCUCUUCAUGAGCCCUGGGCUUCUUCCCAGCAUAGGGGCUGGGAUUUAAGAGCAAGUGGACUGAGAGAGAUCCAGAGGAAACCAUUCAUCUUUUAUGAUAUAGCCUCAGAAACAGUGGUGCACUUGUAUUUAUUAAUCAGCUGUGUGUGUGUGUGUGUGUGUGUAGAGAUGUAGAUAGAUGAGAGUAGAUGUGUGUGAGAGAGAGAGAGAGAGAGAGAGAGAGAGAAUGAUUUGCUGGCCCCUAUGACAUAGGUAAUCUCUCUGUGGUUGUUUUCAGGCUGUGAGCAUGGAGCUAGGAGAAGAUUAGCACUCUGGUUAGCUGGUAGAAAGGGCUUCUGCACCCAGCUGCCCUCAGUGAUUACACAUCACUUGACCUGCACUCUGUGGGUUGAAGUAACUGAAGGCUCACCUGGGUUCAGAUGGAGGAGAUGACUCUGCCUCUUGAUGGCGUAUUGGAGAGGUCAUAGUGUAAGAAGAGCGUAUGGAUGGGAGAUGUUAAAGCCAUCUUUGGAAAAGUCAAUCUGCCACAAUCACCAAGAACGAAGAUCCAAAGGAAUCCACAGAAGAAAAUGAAAUGUAGAGAAAGUCCCCUGAAAUUGCCAAGGAGGUGGGAUUCAGUUCUACAGAGGGGCCUAUGUUUGAAGAAUACUCUGUUGGGUUUGAGAUGCAAGCUGGAGAGCAGGAUAGGGAGAGGGGGAUUUCCGUGGAAAUUAGUAGGAAGAAUCUGGGAUCUCCAGCCAGCAAUAACUCCAGAAUUUCUACACUGCAGGAAAUUGAAGAUUUGGCUGGAAGGGAGACCCAAAGCUAAAGCUCCUUCUUCCAGCCGAAACUUGACACUCACCGGUGUUCCAAGGAGUGACCUGAGAGGCAAGGAUUGAGGACCAGUGACAGAAGAUAAGUAACUUGGCAAGAUGCACACAGCUCUGUCCAAGCUGCACAAUGUGACCCCCUCUGAAGCCCUCUUCCCACCCCAACUUAUCAUUUAAAUGCUGUGUAAGUAAACACUUCAGAAGAUUAAAUGCUUCACAGAUUACCUAUGUUAAUAGGCAAAAUGCCAAGCAUACAGAAAUCUCUCAAUAAAUGUCUACUUCCUGCCUUUUCUCCCCACACCCAUGUCAUAUGCUGUAUUACAUAGAAGGCAGGGCAGAGGUUCUGUCUUGUCUAUCUCUGUACCUGCAGCUCCUUGCACAGAGCCUGGCUUAUGCAGUGCUCAAUGAAUGUUUGUGUGCUUGAGAGAAUGGGCCAUAAUUUACUAAGUCAUUCUACUAAGCCAUGUAUUAAUAAUUGAGCAUUGUGUUUGUUGUUAAAUUUGCUUCAUUAUAAACAUUUUUACAAUGAAUAUAUUUGUCCCAAUUUUGGAUUGUUUGUUCAGUUUAGGCUCAAGAAAGUAGAAAUAGUAAACCAAGAUGUAAAUUUCUCCAAUUACCUUGCACAAGGUCCCUCCCCCAACACCUGGGGAUUAAAAUUUGGAUUCCAAUUCAAGAUGAGAUUUGGGUGGGGACACAGAUCCAGACCACAUCACCCCUCCAGUAGCUUAUUUUUAAUUAUGUAACUCUUGAAUGUAUA
Molecule: long non-coding RNA, 1823 nt
Organism: Callithrix jacchus (white-tufted-ear marmoset)
Lineage: Eukaryota; Metazoa; Chordata; Mammalia; Primates; Cebidae
Source: Ensembl